GGGUGAGUAACACGUGGAUAACCUACCUAUAAGACUGGGAUAACUUCGGGAAACCGGAGCUAAUACCGGAUAACAUGUUGAACCGCAUGGUUCAACAGUGAAAGACGGUCUUGCUGUCACUUAUAGAUGGAUCCUCGCCGCAUUAGCUAGUUGGUAAGGUAACGGCUUACCAAGGCAACGAUGCGUAGCCGACCUGAGAGGGUGAUCGGCCACACUGGAACUGAGACACGGUCCAG
This 236-nucleotide ribosomal RNA is filed under the name uncultured Staphylococcus sp. Its description in RNAcentral is "partial 16S ribosomal RNA". It matches the Rfam family "Bacterial small subunit ribosomal RNA", at positions 104 to 334 of the family's 1533-position model. Lineage: Bacteria; Bacillati; Bacillota; Bacilli; Caryophanales; Staphylococcaceae. The record is from RNAcentral.